This 360-nucleotide ribosomal RNA is filed under the name Faxonella clypeata. RNAcentral describes it as "partial 16S ribosomal RNA". The record is from RNAcentral. Lineage: Eukaryota; Metazoa; Arthropoda; Malacostraca; Decapoda; Cambaridae.
AUUAGUUUUUUAAUUGAAGGCUAGAAUGAAUGGUUGGACAAGAAAUAAUCUGUCUUAAUUAAAUAAAUUGAAUUUAACUUUUAAGUGAAAAGGCUUAAAUAAUCUAAAGGGACGAUAAGACCCUAUAAAACUUUAUAUUUAAUAAUAGUAAUUAAUUUUAUUUUAAGAGUAUUAUUUAAAAAUAUUUGGUUGGGGUGACAAGGAUAAAAUAUAAAAUAACUGUCUUUUUUUAUUACAAUAAUAUUUGGUUUAAUGAUCCUAAAAUGGAUUAAAGAUUAAGUUACUUUAGGGAUAACAGCGUAAUUUUCUUUAAGAGUUCUUAUCGACAAGAAAGUUUGCGACCUCGAUGUUGAAUUAAAA